GUGAGUAGAGGUGGGAUGAAGGGGUGAGUAGAGGAGGGAUGAAGGGGUGAGUAGAGGAGGGAUGAAGGGGUGAAUAGAGGAGGGAUGAAGGGGUGAGUAGAGGAGGGAUGAAGGGGUGAAUAGAGGAGGGAUGAAGGGGUGAAUAGAGGAGGAUUGAAAUGUCACCGUGCCAACAGUAAACUGUUUAAUCUACAGUGUUUUAUGAAUGACAUAUACAUUGCAAUCCCCCGAACCUCUCCCAACCCUCCAACUCAAAACCCACUCACAGUGCAGAGGUAGGCCCAUUCAGGCUUGCAGUGGAGUAGUAUAGACUAUCAAUCAGACCUGGCUAUGUCUCACCAUGGAGAAGACAGGCCAGAGUAGCCUAUGGAUCAGACCUGGCUAUAUCUCACCAUGGAGAAGACAGGCCAGAGUA
RNAcentral lists this long non-coding RNA (415 nucleotides) under Salmo salar (Atlantic salmon). Its description in RNAcentral is "lncRNA (ENSSSAG00000120276.1)". The record is from RNAcentral. Lineage: Eukaryota; Metazoa; Chordata; Actinopteri; Salmoniformes; Salmonidae.